UCUGCUGGGAUGAGUGUUAUACCUGCCAUUGCACAAAAUAACAUUCAGCAGGUAUUUUGUUCACGACUUUUGCUAUAUUGUUCAAGGGUUAUGAAUGUAUAUUAGGUCGGUGUGUUAUUCAUCAGAGAAUGGGUUUGUUCGUGUUUGUGCGGAUUUGUACAUGCGUCUGUAUAAGUGUGUAUUUUUUAAUAUGUUGGUUUCUAAAUGAAAAAUGUUCAUGUUUAUUCAUAAGUGAAAAAGGGCAUUUUUACAAGUGUUUAUAAGAAAAGGGCAUUUUUGCCUAUUAACACUACGGGAUAUAUAGCUUGAAAUCUAUAUAUCACUAUGAAUAUUAUAGCAUUCUACGAAAAUAGAUUUGUUUUGUGACUUAGCAUCUGAUUCUAUGCAUCAAUGAAAAAAACUUAAAUAAAAUAUGAAAAAUAAUUAGAAUAUUAAUCUUGAACAGACAUUGUUCAACUCAACUCAAAAAGUGGAACAACGUUCACCGAAUAAUAGUCGAUAACAAAAAUAUGAUGAUUGUUGAAUAUUGGAUAUGGACUUCAAGAAACUAUUAACUCGAACAAACUUGAUUGAAUAAUUAACCAAAGCAAAGAAGACAUAAAAAAACAAAGAUUCAAACGUGAGAAAGUGGGGAGAGCAUGAUAUGGUAAAAAUCCAAGAUACCAUAAAUAUGAAAUAUGUAUUGCAUGAAAUUAGAAACACAUCGGUUACAAUAAAUUAUUAAAUGACUGAAAAAAGCCUUCAAUCACAAAACUAGCGCACGAUUAGAGGGUUAAUUAAUUAAAGGGUUAAUUGUCUAUAAUACAAUAUGAACAAUACCCAAUUUUGAUUUUUAACUCAAUCUUUUUAUAUAUUAAAAAAAAAACUUUUAUGAUUUUGAAAUUUGACUUAACCCAAAGUUUCCUAACUAAUAACUUGAUUGUCAACAGUUCGAUGGAAAAUCUGAAGAUAUCGUCAGAAAGCUCAUAAUGUUAUCUUUCUAACGAUAUUUAUAUUGUUGGGUUUUGAUCACUGAAAGUGAUUGAAAAAUUGCAUGAAAGUUGAUGUCGUUAAACUCUACAUUUUAUCUUUUUCUCGACCACUUAAUUUUCGUGACCAAAACCCAACAAUAUUGGUAUCAUUACAGAGAUAUCAUCAAGAGGUUUCCAACGGGUACAUUUGAAUUAUUCAUUGAUCUCCAAUCAAUUAAGUUAUUGACUAAUAAACUUUUAGAUUCAAGUCAAAUUUUAAAAAUUAAAAUUUAUGUAUUUUUUAUAAGAAAAAAAUCUAAUUAAAAACUAAAAUAUGGAUAUAGUACAUAUAUUUAUAGGUAAUUAACCCUUAAUUUAACGAUAUACAUGAAUACGUGUAUAGAAAGAUACUAAUGGUCUCUUCUCUAGAAUAGGAACAUGUUAAUUAAGAAUCAAUUUAAUUCAUAGAUCUUGAUUAAAGUUGCGUUUAUUUUGAUGGAUAAAUUUAUCAUGAGAAAAAUGAGGGAUAACAAAAAAUUAUACCUUUAAAUAUCUCUUUUCUUUUCCAACAUUUUACACAAAAGAGAAGCUCAUGAAANUUUUACGAAUUUAAAUGUAUUGUUCAUAGAAAUGAACGCAUGUUAAGUGGAUGUUAUGCAUGUGUUUGAGACGUUAUUCAUGUGUUUUGUGCACGUCCUCUGCUAUCUUAUGCAUAAGUUAUGAAAACAUGUGUGGAUGGUGUCUUAUUCAACUGAGUAAUGCGAUUGUUCAUGUAUGUGCUGAUUUAUUCAUGCGUCUAUAUAAGUGUGUAUUUUUAAAUAUGUUGAUUUAUAAUUGCAAAAACGUCCACAUUUAUUCAUGAAGAAAGAUAAUAUGAUUACAUGGUCAUACAUUAAAGAAAGUUUAUAUUGUUUGUGAUAGGUUAGAGGAAAAAAUAUAUUGUUAGCUAUAGUAUGGAUUGAGUUGUUAAUUUAUUUUUUCCUUUUAGGUGCCCCUGUCUGCGCCACCUUCUGCUGGGACAAGUGCUAUACGUUCUAUUGCACAGAACAAUAUUUCACAAGUACUUAAUAAUUAUCUGAGGACAUUAUGGAAUGGAUGAGAUGAUGGAGUUAUUCUACAAAUUAUGCAUAUAUUCACGUGUUAUCCAGUUUGUUCACCAUUUUAAAUGACAUGUUCAUAGAGAUGAAUGCAUGUUAAGUAGAUAUUAUUCAUGUGUGUGAGACGUUAUUCAUGUUCUUUAUUCAUGAAUUUUGCUAUCUUGUUCAUAAGUCAUGAAUCUAUGUAUGGAUGAUCUAUUAUUCAUUUGAGUAAUGCUUUUGUUCAUGUGUGGGUUGAUUUAUUCAUGCGUCUGUAUUAAGUGUGUAUUUUUCAAUAUGUUUAUUUAUAAUUGCAAAACGUCCAUGAAAAAAUUUUAUAUUGUUUUUGUGAUUUUUUUAGGUGCGCCCGUCUGCAACACAUUCUGCUGGACGAGUGUUAUACUGCCAUUGCACAAAAUAACAUUCAACGGGUGCUUUGUUCAUGACUUUUGCUAUAUUGUUCGAGGGUUAUAAAUGUAUAUCGGGUAGGUGUGUUAUUCAUCAGAGUAAUGCAUUUGUUCGUGUAUGUGCGGAUUUGCACAUGCGUCUGUAUAAGUAUGUAUUUUUUAAUAUGUUGGUUUUUAAAUGAAAAACUUUCAUGUUUAUUCAUUUAGGUGGGGCCGACUGUGCCACUCUCUGCCGAGACGAGUUACACAUCUACCAUUGUUGAAAAAAACUAGACACAUGUGCAUUGUAAACCAAUUGUACUUUCUUGUACGUAGGUUUGUUAAGGUAUUCACGUGACUUCAAAUCUAUGUAAAAGGCGACAGCCAUAUCCUAUGUAUUAUGGUACCAUCGGGAUCUUGUUUCACUGUACUCAAACGUGUCUCAAACCCGCAUGCAUCCGUCUAUU
Molecule: long non-coding RNA, 2879 nt
Filed under: Salvia miltiorrhiza (redroot sage)
Lineage: Eukaryota; Viridiplantae; Streptophyta; Magnoliopsida; Lamiales; Lamiaceae
Description: long non-coding RNA (SMIL_LNC007867)
Source: RNAcentral